RNAcentral lists this long non-coding RNA (328 nucleotides) under Arabidopsis lyrata. RNAcentral's name for it is "long non-coding RNA (ALYR_LNC002330)". The record is from RNAcentral. Lineage: Eukaryota; Viridiplantae; Streptophyta; Magnoliopsida; Brassicales; Brassicaceae.
AAGCCGUCGUCUCUGGGGUUAUAUUAACCGCCGUUCUCGUCAGAGAACAGAAUUCGCGAGUUUAAUGGCUUCUCAUUUUCUUUCGGUUUUCGAUGUUUUAUAAACACUGUCAAUUAUUUUUGUUUUUCCUAUUUCCAAACGCCAUCAUGUUACGCUUUCAGAAUAGUCUUUUUUCGAUUUUUACCGUUUAUGGGUUUCGAUCUAGUAUAAUCAUAGAUCUCCCUCGGAUAAAUUAGAUCUCUACUUUUCUCGACACCACCUUUACAGAUCUAUUUAGAUCUCUACUUUUCUCGACACCACCUUUACAGAUCUAUUUUUUCUUUUAGCC